RNAcentral lists this ribosomal RNA (528 nucleotides) under uncultured bacterium. Its description in RNAcentral is "bacterial SSU rRNA". It matches the Rfam family "Bacterial small subunit ribosomal RNA", at positions 355 to 896 of the family's 1533-position model. The record is from RNAcentral.
CAGGGAAUAUUGCACAAUGGGCGAAAGCCUGAUGCAGCAACGCCGCGUGCGGGAUGAAGGCCUUCGGGUUGUAAACCGCUUUCAGUAGGGAAGAAAAUGACGGUACCUACAGAAGAAGCCCCGGCCAACUACGUGCCAGCAGCCGCGGUAACACGUGGGGGGCAAGCGUUGUCCGGAUUUAUUGGGCGUAAAGGGCUCGUAGGCGGCUUGACAAGUCGGGCGUGAAAACCCGGGGCUCAACCCCGGGACGCCGUUCGAAACUGUCAUGGCUAGUGUCCGGUAGAGGUGAGCGGAAUUCUCGGUGUAGCGGUGAAAUGCGCAGAUAUCGAGAGGAACACCAGUAGCGAAGGCGGCUCACUGGGCCGGUACAGACGCUGAGGAGCGAAAGCGUGGGGAGCAAACAGGAUUAGAUACCCUGGUAGUCCACGCUGUAAACGUUGAACACUAGGUGUGGUGGACAGAUCCAUGUCUGCCGUGCCGAAGCUAACGCAUUAAGUGUUCCGCCUGGGGAGUACGGCCGCAAGGCUA